AUCUAGAAAUCCUAUUAUACAUGAAAUCAAAUAAAUCAAAUCAAAUCAAAUGAAAUCAAAUCUAUCUAUCCUUCUAUCCUUCACCCUUUCAGCAUUUGUGAGGCUUCAGUUUGUGGUAGUAGUAUUGACGUUUGAGAGAUUCUCUGAUGGCAGUGGUGGUGGUGGUGGUAUUCUUAAUGAUCAAUCUUAUCAUGAUGAUUCUUAGAGGGUUCUUUGAUGAUUCUCAUAGAGGAUUCUUUGGUGGUUCUUGCAGAGAGUUUUUUGAUAGUUGAUUCUUCAGAGAAUUCUUCAGUAGAUGGAGGAGUAGUAACAGUGGCAGCUGAGUGGCUUGUAUAGUCAGUUUCAUCUCAUUCUUCUCUUAUUUGAUAUUCUCUUGAUCUCUUCUUGACAGAGAAUCAGAGUUUUCAACUGAUUUUUGUAAGGAUUUUCCCAUUCUUCUGUUCAAAUAUUCAUUCAUUCUCUUCAGAUGUAACGGGCGUACUACCGAUUAACAGACUAAGCACUAUCCUAAUUACAGAUUACAAAUUGAUUAAGAAAGGAAAGAGAAAAGAGAUUAGAAGAAAGGGUCGUACGAAGAGGUUCUUAUAGAAGGGGAAUCGGAACGGAAGAAUAUUAGAGGUCGCGCCAAGGUGGG
RNAcentral lists this small RNA (634 nucleotides) under Histoplasma ohiense. RNAcentral describes it as "hypothetical lncRNA". Lineage: Eukaryota; Fungi; Ascomycota; Eurotiomycetes; Onygenales; Ajellomycetaceae. The record is from RNAcentral.